UUGGAGGGCAAGUCUGGUGCCAGCAGCCGCGGUAAUUCCAGCUCCAAUAGCGUAUAUUAAAGUUGUUGCAGUUAAAAAGCUCGUAGUUGAAUUUCGGGGUUAGUAGGUUGGUCAUGCCUCUGGUAUGUACUGGUCUCACUGAUUCCUCCUUCCUUAUGAACCGUAAUGCCAUUAAUUUGGUGUUGCGGGGAAUUUGGACUGUUACUUUGAAAAAAUUAGAGUGUUUAAAGCAGGCUAACGCUUGAAUACAUUAGCAUGGAAUAAUGAAAUAGGACGUUCGAUCUUAUUUUGUUGGUUUCUAGGAUUGACGUAAUGAUUAAUAGGGAUAGUUGGGGGCAUUAGUAUUCAAUUGUCAGAGGUGAAAUUCUUGGAUUUAUUGAAGACUAACUACUGCGAAAGCAUUUGCCAAGGAUGUUUUCAUUAAUCAAGAACGAAAGUUAGGGGAUCGAAGACGAUCAGAUACCGUCGUAGUCUUAACCAUAAACUAUGCCGACUAGGGAUCGGAUGAUGUUAAUUUUUUAAUGACUCAUUCGGCGCCUUACGGGAAAC
RNAcentral lists this ribosomal RNA (549 nucleotides) under Rhizophagus intraradices. Its description in RNAcentral is "SSU rRNA". It matches the Rfam family "Eukaryotic small subunit ribosomal RNA", at positions 548 to 1098 of the family's 1831-position model. The record is from RNAcentral. Lineage: Eukaryota; Fungi; Glomeromycota; Glomeromycetes; Glomerales; Glomeraceae. RNAcentral also lists the same sequence under 1 other name.